AUGCAAGUCGAACGAAGCACUUUAUUUGAUUUCCUUCGGGAUUGAUUAUUUUGUGACUGAGUGGCGGACGGGUGAGUAACGCGUGGGUAACCUGCCUUGUACAGGGGGAUAACAGUUGGAAACGGCUGCUAAUACCGCAUAAGCGCACAGCAUCGCAUGAUGCAGUGUGAAAAACUCCGGUGGUAUAAGAUGGACCCGCGUUGGAUUAGCUAGUUGGUGAGGUAACGGCCCACCAAGGCGACGAUCCAUAGCCGACCUGAGAGGGUGACCGGCCACAUUGGGACUGAGACACGGCCCAAACUCCUACGGGAGGCAGCAGUGGGGAAUAUUGCACAAUGGGCGAAAGCCUGAUGCAGCGACGCCGCGUGAGCGAAGAAGUAUUUCGGUAUGUAAAGCUCUAUCAGCAGGGAAGAUAAUGACGGUACCUGACUAAGAAGCACCGGCUAAAUACGUGCCAGCAGCCGCGGUAAUACGUAUGGUGCAAGCGUUAUCCGGAUUUACUGGGUGUAAAGGGAGCGCAGGCGGUGCGGCAAGUCUGAUGUGAAAGCCCGGGGCUCAACCCCGGUACUGCAUUGGAAACUGUCGUACUAGAGUGUCGGAAGGGUAAGCGGAAUUCCUAGUGUAGCGGUGAAAUGCGUAGAUAUUAGGAGGAACACCAGUGGCGAAGG
This 668-nucleotide ribosomal RNA is filed under the name uncultured bacterium. RNAcentral describes it as "bacterial SSU rRNA". It matches the Rfam family "Bacterial small subunit ribosomal RNA", at positions 55 to 721 of the family's 1533-position model. The record is from RNAcentral.